CCGGCGCGGCGGCCAGAGGUGGCGCGGCCGGCGGGUCGCUGAGCGUGCCCCUGCGCCCCCGAGGCCCCGGGUCCCCAUGUCCCGGGUCCCCCGUGUUCCCGCAUCCCCGCUGGGGCAUCUCGGGACCGGCCUCGAUGGCCUCGGGGCAGAGCACCGCCAGCCCAGAGGCUUCCUGAUCCGGGACCGCGAGCAGGGCGCCGGCCCAGGUCCCCCCUGCGCUGUCGCAGCUGCCCAAGCUCGCCAGGACGGCUGCGCGCAGGACCUUCUCCAGAACCGGGUCCUUACCUGUGUCCUGGCUUGUGUCGGUCACGCACGCUCAGCGUCCCCACUGCGCCCAAGGCCUUCACGGAAAGAUUUCACGCAGAACACGGGAGCAUUUCUCUGGAAGGAAACCCUUCGCCGCUGUGAUGCCGCCCAGGCGUGGAAACCAAAUGAAACCAUAUAAAGAGCAGAUCGGCCUACUGUCGGGUGACGGGAGAGAAUUCCUGGGAAAAACUUCUAAUGCACUGAAAGUCUUGCUGACUUUGGGUUGGGGUUUUCUUGGGCCUGUUUUGCCCGCGGAAAGCCCUUCCCCACAGGUCACUACUCACAGCGACUCGGGUGGCUGUCGCUCAAGGGCGGUCGUUGGAAAACGCUUCCGGUGCAUAACCGAAACAACUCAACAGGGGAGAGUUGAACGUU
Molecule: long non-coding RNA, 681 nt
Organism: Leopardus geoffroyi (Geoffroy's cat)
Lineage: Eukaryota; Metazoa; Chordata; Mammalia; Carnivora; Felidae
Exons: 2
Source: RefSeq, a predicted model, not a curated record